AGUAUGUGGUUUAAUUCGAUGCAACGCGAAGAACCUUACCUGGUCUUGACAUCCCGGAGACCCUUAGGAAACUAGGGGGUGCUUCCAUCUGGAAGAAUCUGGAGACAGGUGCUGCAUGGCUGUCGUCAGCUCGUGUCGUGAGAUGUUGGGUUUAAGUCCCGCAACGAGCGCAACCCUUGCCUUUAGUUGCCAGCAGUUCGGCUGGGCACUCUAAAGGGACUGCCGGUGUUAAACCGGAGGAAGGUGGGGAUGACGUCAAGUCCUCAUGGCCUUUAUGACCAGGGCUACACACGUACUACAAUGGCCGAUACAAAGGGCAGCGACACUGCGAGGUGAAGCCAAUCCCGUAAAAUCGGUCUCAGUCCGGAUUGGAGUCUGCAACUCGACUCCAUGAAGUUGGAAUCGCUAGUAAUCGUGGAUCAGCAUGCCACGGUGAAUACGUUCCCGGGCCUU
RNAcentral lists this ribosomal RNA (453 nucleotides) under uncultured Desulfobulbus sp. RNAcentral describes it as "bacterial SSU rRNA". It matches the Rfam family "Bacterial small subunit ribosomal RNA", at positions 936 to 1382 of the family's 1533-position model. Lineage: Bacteria; Pseudomonadati; Thermodesulfobacteriota; Desulfobulbia; Desulfobulbales; Desulfobulbaceae. The record is from RNAcentral.